CAGGGGGACAGAUAUUCGGAGGGGGAGAGGGACGGAAGAUGAAAUGGAGAGCGGCAACGAGAGGAGCGAGAGCGGAGAGAUGGUGGCAUGGGGGCGGCAGGCCGAGGCGCUAGCAACGUGACGGGGAAAUCUCCCAUACGUCUCCUGCUGUGUGACUUAAACCCAUAGAUCAUCAUCAGUCUCAUCAUCGUCGUCGUCGCCGUGAUACCCACCACCACGCCUGCACUUGCACCGGAAGCAAAAGCUGCUGAGGAAUUCAACGGGAAAAGAUGAAGAAAGGAAAAUGAAGAUAAUUCCACUCGCAGCACCGGGAAUCAAACGGUCGCCCCGGCACAAACCGGGCUCAACAGGGAGACGAUGCUCGGCAGAUGGAGCCGGGCCGCACGGCGGCCGUCACGGACGAGGGCAGCGGCGGGGUCGGCCGUGGAGAAACCGCGCGAGGAACGUUCUUUCCCUCUCCCGUUCUCGCGGCCGCCAUCCUGAACAACGAUGGGGACGACGCUGAACCGCCGCUCCCCCCACUGCCCGAGCCCCCCCCACCCACCCACACCGCCACCCCGGGCGUGGAGUGAAGAGUUCCGUGUAAUCGCUGUCGCCAAUCGGUGCGAGUGGCAGCGCCACUCCUGCAUAAUGAACCAAUUUAUUCAUUUGCGUUCUGUAUUAAUUACGCAACGUGGGAGAUUAAAUGAAAUUGGCACGUUUUAAAUAAUAAUAAUUACCGCCCUUUUGUCAAUCGCCUGCUGAAUGAAGGCCUCAACGGUGCCGUGUCGGUCACGGGGGUUGUUUGACCAUACUUCACCGCUCUGGUCAGUUCCGGUUCGCAAAGUGGGGCGAGAGACACGGGACCGGCAUUCGAACCCGGGUCGCCAGGUUCACAGGGCAGGACCCACAGCACCGCUCAUCUAUACCAACACCAGCGUGGCGAGACAGUGAAAUGUGCCGUAACCACUGGGCUUCGGGUUUUUUUUUUCCCGACUGCCGAAAAUCGGUUUUAAUUUGAAGCAGCUAAA
This is a long non-coding RNA of Lethenteron reissneri (Far Eastern brook lamprey), 1010 nucleotides long. RefSeq lists it as uncharacterized. The record is from RefSeq and is a predicted model, not a curated record. Lineage: Eukaryota; Metazoa; Chordata; Hyperoartia; Petromyzontiformes; Petromyzontidae.